GUUGCAAUGUUGUGAAGUUGUAU
RNAcentral lists this non-coding RNA (23 nucleotides) under Arabidopsis thaliana (thale cress). The record is from RNAcentral. Lineage: Eukaryota; Viridiplantae; Streptophyta; Magnoliopsida; Brassicales; Brassicaceae.